Molecule: non-coding RNA, 530 nt
Organism: Paramuricea clavata
Lineage: Eukaryota; Metazoa; Cnidaria; Anthozoa; Malacalcyonacea; Plexauridae
Source: the annotation of a GenBank genome assembly
AACUUUGAGAAUUUCUCGAAAGAAAUAAUGUUUUACAUGCAAGAUAAACAUUAAUUUGAUCUGGUUAUUUCACCAUUAAAUGUUUUAAAGAUUGACCAAAUCAGUAAACUAAAGGAUCAUGUAAAUGUUUCAAUUAUGAAAGCUGUUCAAGUUGAUGAAUCGAAGGAUACAAUGUGUAGUUUGGGAGAGUCAUUGUAUACGGACAGCAAUCAAUUGGAGAACAUGAAAGUUUUUGAAUUUUUAUUAUAAUCGACGAAAUAUACAGACAAUUUAAAAGCGAUAGUUGUGGACGAAGCCCAAUCUUGUUACUGAAUGGUGAGUGAGUGAUACUGAUAUAUUUGGUUGUUUCUCAAUAUUCUUUCUUUGCUAUAUUAUCUGCAAGACUGCACACAUACAGACAACAUAUAUUCUGUUUAAUACGUCUGGUCUAAACACUGCAUUUUACAUGUGUCAAGUCUAGAAAAGUUUGUUGAACCUUGUAAGUGCUACCAAAUUAUUUUACUCAGCUUAACAUGCCAGAUGAUUGAGUG